AACGUAGGAGGCGAGCGUUAUCCGGAUUUACUGGGUGUAAAGCGCAUGCAGGCGGCUCGGUAAGUGAGGUGUGAAAGCUCCUGGCUCAACUGGGAGAGGUCGCUUCAGACUGUCGGGCUCGAGCGUGGGAGGGGAAGGCGGAAUUCCGGGUGUAGUGGUGAAAUGCGUAGAUAUCCGGAGGAACACCAGUGGCGAAGGCGGCCUUCUGGACCACGACUGACGCUCAGAUGCGAAAGCUAGGGGAG
This 245-nucleotide ribosomal RNA is filed under the name uncultured bacterium. RNAcentral describes it as "partial 16S ribosomal RNA". It matches the Rfam family "Bacterial small subunit ribosomal RNA", at positions 524 to 768 of the family's 1533-position model. The record is from RNAcentral.